RNAcentral lists this ribosomal RNA (274 nucleotides) under uncultured bacterium. RNAcentral describes it as "partial 16S ribosomal RNA". It matches the Rfam family "Bacterial small subunit ribosomal RNA", at positions 523 to 796 of the family's 1533-position model. The record is from RNAcentral.
CUACGGAGGGUGCAAGCGUUAAUCGGAAUUACUGGGCGUAAAGCGCGCGUAGGCGGUUUGGUAAGUCGGAUGUGAAAGCCCCGGGCUCAACCUGGGAACUGCAUUCGAUACUGUCAGGCUAGAGUAUGGUAGAGGGAAGCGGAAUUCCAGGUGUAGAGGUGAAAUGCGUAGAUAUCUGGAGGAACAUCAGUGGCGAAGGCGGCUUCCUGGAUCAAUACUGACGCUGAGGUGCGAAAGCGUGGGGAGCAAACAGGAUUAGAAACCCUAGUAGUCC